RNAcentral lists this ribosomal RNA (433 nucleotides) under uncultured bacterium. RNAcentral's name for it is "partial 16S ribosomal RNA". It matches the Rfam family "Bacterial small subunit ribosomal RNA", at positions 29 to 507 of the family's 1533-position model. The record is from RNAcentral.
AACGAACGCUGGCGGCAUGCCUAACACAUGCAAGUCGAACGAGACCUUCGGGUCUAGUGGCGCACGGGUGCGUAACGCGUGGGAACCUGCCCUUAGGUUCGGAAUAACUCCCCGAAAGGGGUGCUAAUACCGGAUAAUGUCUUCGGACCAAAGAUUUAUCGCCUUUGGAUGGGCCCGCGUUGGAUUAGCUAGUUGGUAGGGUAAAAGCCUACCAAGGCGACGAUCCAUAGCUGGUCUGAGAGGAUGAUCAGCCACACUGGGACAGAGACACGGCCCAGACUCCUACGGGAAGCAGCAGUGGGGAAUAUUGGACAAUGGGCGAAAGCCUGAUCCAGCAAUGCCGCGUGAGUGAUGAAGGCCUUAGGGUUGUAAAGCUCUUUUACCCGGGAUGAUAAUGACAGUACCGGGAGAAUAAGCUCCGGCUAACUCCGUG